Molecule: ribosomal RNA, 495 nt
Filed under: uncultured bacterium
Lineage: Bacteria
Description: partial 16S ribosomal RNA
Rfam family: Bacterial small subunit ribosomal RNA
Source: RNAcentral
GACGAACGCUGGCGGCGUGCCUAAUACAUGCAAGUAGAACGCUGAAGGAGGAGCUUGCUCUUCUGGAUGAGUUGCGAACGGGUGAGUAACGCGUAGGUAACCUGCCUGGUAGCGGGGGAUAACUAUUGGAAACGAUAGCUAAUACCGCAUAACAGUAGAUGUUGCAUGACAUUUACUUAAAAGGUGCAAUUGCAUCACUACCAGAUGGACCUGCGUUGUAUUAGCUAGUUGGUGGGGUAACGGCUCACCAAGGCGACGAUACAUAGCCGACCUGAGAGGGUGAUCGGCCACACUGGGACUGAGACACGGCCCAGACUCCUACGGGAGGCAGCAGUAGGGAAUCUUCGGCAAUGGACGGAAGGCUGACCGAGCAACGCCGCGUGAGUGAAGAAGGGUUUCGGAUCGUAAAGCUCUGUUGUAAGAGAAGAACGAGUGUGAGAGUGGAAAGUUCACACUGUGACGGUAUCUUACCAGAAAGGGACGGCUAACUACGUG